AUUGAACGCUGGCGGCAGGCCUAACACAUGCAAGUCGAGCGGAGCGGCGGACGGGCGAGUAAUGCCUAGGAAUCUGCCCGGUCGUGGGGGAAAACGUCCGGAAACGGGCGCUAAUACCGCAUACUAUCAGAUGAGCCUCUGUUGGGUUAGCUAGUUGGUGGGGUAAAGGCCUACCAAGGCCACGAUCCGUAACUGGGCUGAGAGGAUGAUCAGUCACACGGGAACUGAGACACGGUCCAGACUCCUACGGGAGGCAGCAGUGGGGAAUAUUGGACAAAGGGAGAAAGCCUGAUCCAGCCAUGCCGCGUGUGUGAAGAAGGUCUUCGGAUUGUAAAGCACUUUAAGUUGGGAGGCGUUACCAACAGAAUAAGCACCGGCGAACUUCGUGCCAGCAGCCGCGGUAAUAC
This 407-nucleotide ribosomal RNA is filed under the name uncultured bacterium. Its description in RNAcentral is "partial 16S ribosomal RNA". It matches the Rfam family "Bacterial small subunit ribosomal RNA", at positions 30 to 526 of the family's 1533-position model. The record is from RNAcentral.